This 638-nucleotide ribosomal RNA is filed under the name uncultured bacterium. RNAcentral describes it as "bacterial SSU rRNA". It matches the Rfam family "Bacterial small subunit ribosomal RNA", at positions 99 to 735 of the family's 1533-position model. The record is from RNAcentral.
CGCACGGGUGAGUAACGCGUAUCCAACCUUCCGUACACUCAGGGAUAGCCUUUCGAAAGAAAGAUUAAUACCUGAUGGUAUGAUGAGAUUGCAUGAUAGCAUCAUUAAAGAUUUAUCGGUGUACGAUGGGGAUGCGUUCCAUUAGGUAGUAGGCGGGGUAACGGCCCACCUAGCCAACGAUGGAUAGGGGUUCUGAGAGGAAGGUCCCCCACAUUGGAACUGAGACACGGUCCAAACUCCUACGGGAGGCAGCAGUGAGGAAUAUUGGUCAAUGGACGAGAGUCUGAACCAGCCAAGUAGCGUGAAGGAUGAAGGUCCUACGGAUUGUAAACUUCUUUUAUAAGGGAAUAAACCCUCCCACGUGUGGGAGCUUGUAUGUACCUUAUGAAUAAGCAUCGGCUAACUCCGUGCCAGCAGCCGCGGUAAUACGGAGGAUGCGAGCGUUAUCCGGAUUUAUUGGGUUUAAAGGGAGCGCAGACGGGUCGUUAAGUCGGCUGUGAAAGUUUGGGGCUCAACCUUAAAAUUGCAGUUGAUACUGGCGUCCUUGAGUGCGGUUGAGGUGUGCGGAAUUCGUGGUGUAGCGGUGAAAUGCUUAGAUAUCACGAAGAACUCCGAUUGCGAAGGCAGCACACUAAUCC